This 835-nucleotide long non-coding RNA is filed under the name Equus asinus (donkey). RNAcentral's name for it is "lncRNA (ENSEASG00005024886.1)". The record is from RNAcentral. Lineage: Eukaryota; Metazoa; Chordata; Mammalia; Perissodactyla; Equidae.
CGAGAGGCGGGUGGCGGGCGCGCGGGUCUCCCCGCGUCCUGGAUGCGGACUCCAAGUAAUCGGCGUCCCCUCCUUGUGGGAAGUGGAUGGAUCUGCAGGAGCCAAAUCUCUGGUAGUGACGAGUGAGCGAGCCAGGCUCUCGGCCUUUCAUCCUGUCCGAAAUAGAAGUCUCUUGGGCCUCUCCUCGGACUGCCGGCUCAGAAGACAAGUGGCCUGAUCCGCAGACCUUUGGAUUUGAUACAUGCUCACUGCAAAAAUGAAAUUAAAAUCUAGAAGUGUGUAAUAGAAGAAUUAAAAAGAAAUCCAAAAUGAAAAAAAAUGAGAAUUGCCUUUCAGAAAAUCUGCAGAAUCAUGUAGCCAGGGCACACACAAAAGAAGAAACGUGACCUGCAACUACCGUGGAAACAAAGAUCCUCCUUCCCACAGAACCCAAGGACUGGGACACGACCGGAACUUGGCAAUGGACUCUUAUCAGAAGCGAGGGAUCCCUCAUUCAGAAGAUCUGGUGUUAAAAUUCCUUCCCCACCUCAUCAAAAAUGUUUAGAACCCUGUUAGAAAUAUUUAGAACCUCAUCAUAAAGGCUUGAAGCCCACCGGUCAAAGCCUGUCCCACCAGCAUUUCUGCAUGCCAACCUGUCUGUCCUCCAUAACCUUUUAAAUUUUGCCCCAAAUCCUGAAUUGGGGAGACAGAUCUGAGGGCACAUGCCCCCUGUUCUCCCUGCAGAUCAAUUUCGCACAGUAAAACUGACCUCUUUCCCCAAAGGCUGAUGCUGUAAUUAAUCAGUUUGUUUAUGUGCAUCGGGCAGUGAACCCCAACUUUGUGCGGUAACAGUCUC